This is a non-coding RNA of Pimephales promelas (fathead minnow), 620 nucleotides long. Lineage: Eukaryota; Metazoa; Chordata; Actinopteri; Cypriniformes; Leuciscidae. The record is from RefSeq and is a predicted model, not a curated record.
AGUUCCCAGAUAGCAGCUGACUCUGGGCCGGAUCCGCCUCCAAACCGGCAGAUCCGUGUAACAGUCACCCCCGUUUUACUGCCCCAUUCCAGAUACGGCCCGCAUGUAGUCUGUGUACAUCGGGAGUAGGCGUGAACAUCCAUCAGUCGGCGGAAUCAUAAUAGUUCUGGCCCGGACUCGUCGGAACGAGCGCGCGAAUUGUUUCCUUUUUUUUUUUUUAACCGGUUCAUUCCAGAUCAGAAGUCAGUCGGCGGAAUCGUUGUUGUUCUGGCCCGGGGCCGUUGGAACGAGCGCGUGAACUGUUGGUCAUUUGGAUCUUCGGACUGCAAGCUCCGUGGAAAGAGUUUAUAACGAUAUUUUCUUCACCCCUGGCUGCGAGAGCCCCGGAUUAUUAGGAGGCUGUACGGAAGAACCAAGUUGCUAGCAGCGCAUCGGACAACGAGAUUAACCAGCACGCCAUCCGCUGGUUCAACCCGGCCUCUGACCGCAGAGGUGGCCGCAAAGAACGUGCCAUGGCCAGAGAUGCAUUAACCAUGGUAAAUUGUAGAUAAAUCAUUGUGCUAGUCUUUUGUAGAAACAUUUGUUUUGUGUUUAACUUUGCAAAUUGUUGUUAAUAGCAU